GCCUUCGUGGUGUAGUGGUUAGCAUGUUCGACGCGUAACCGAGAGAUCUGUGGUUCGAUUCCCGGCAAAGGUG
RNAcentral lists this transfer RNA (73 nucleotides) under Stegodyphus mimosarum. It matches the Rfam family "tRNA". From Rfam's summary of the family: Transfer RNA (tRNA) molecules are approximately 80 nucleotides in length. Their secondary structure includes four short double-helical elements and three loops (D, anti-codon, and T loops). The record is from Rfam by way of RNAcentral. Lineage: Eukaryota; Metazoa; Arthropoda; Arachnida; Araneae; Eresidae.